CAGUAGCCACGGUAACACAGAGGAUGCAAGCGUUAUCCGGAAUGAUUGGGCGUAAAGCGUCUGUAGGUGGCUUUUCAAGUCCGCCGUCAAAUCCCAGGGCUCAACCCUGGACAGGCGGUGGAAACUACCAAGCUGGAGUACGGUAGUGGCAGAGGGAAUUUCCGGUGGAGCGGUGAAAUGCGUUGGGAUCGGAAAGAACACCAACGGCGAAAGCACUCUGCUGGGCCGACACUGACACUGAGAGACGAAAGCUAGGGGAGCAAACAGGAUUAGAUACCCCAGUAGUCCCUGUCUCUUAUAC
RNAcentral lists this ribosomal RNA (301 nucleotides) under uncultured bacterium. RNAcentral describes it as "partial 16S ribosomal RNA". It matches the Rfam family "Bacterial small subunit ribosomal RNA", at positions 509 to 807 of the family's 1533-position model. The record is from RNAcentral.